Molecule: ribosomal RNA, 501 nt
Filed under: uncultured bacterium
Lineage: Bacteria
Description: partial 16S ribosomal RNA
Rfam family: Bacterial small subunit ribosomal RNA
Source: RNAcentral
AUUGAACGCUGGCGGCAGGCUCAACACAUGCAAGUCGAGCGGGGGAAGGUAGCUUGCUACCGGACCUAGCGGCGGACGGGUGAGUAAUGCUUAGGAAUCUGCCUAUUAGUGGGGGACAACAUCUCGAAAGGGAUGCUAAUACCGCAUACGUCCUACGGGAGAAAGCAGGGGAUCUCCGGACCUUGCGCUAAUAGAUGAGCCUAAGUCGGAUUAGCUAGUUGGUGGGGUAAAGGCCUACCAAGGCGACGAUCUGUAGCGGGUCUGGGAGGAUGGUCGGCCACACUGGGACUGGGACACGGCCCAGACUCCUACGGGAGGCAGCAGUGGGGUAUAUUGGACAAUGGGGGGAACCCUGAUCCAGCCAUGCCGCGUGUGUGAAGAAGGCCUUAUGGUUGUAGAGCACUUUAAGCGAGGAGGAGGCUCUUUUGGUUAAUACCCAAGAUGAGUGGACGUUACUCGCAGAAUAAGCACCGGCUAACUCUGUGCCAGCAGCCGCCGUAA